RNAcentral lists this transfer RNA (67 nucleotides) under Marmota monax (woodchuck). RNAcentral describes it as "tRNA.Ala". Lineage: Eukaryota; Metazoa; Chordata; Mammalia; Rodentia; Sciuridae. The record is from RNAcentral.
GGCUGUAACUCAGUGGUAGAGCACUUGUCUAGCAUGUGUGAGGUCCUGGGUUCAAUCCCCAGCACCA